CAUAUAUAGCGCGGCGCGGAGCUGGUCAUCCAUAACGCAUCGUUCGAUAUCGGCUUUAUGGAUUAUGAGUUUGGUCUGCUUAAACGCGAUAUUCCUAAAACCAAUACUUUCUGCAAAGUUACCGACAGCCUGGCGUUGGCGCGGAAAAUGUUCCCCGGCAAGCGUAACAGCCUUGAUGCGCUGUGUUCGCGUUAUGAGAUAGAUAAUAGUAAACGUACUUUGCACGGCGCAUUGCUCGAUGCCCAGAUCCUUGCUGAAGUGUAUCUGGCGAUGACGGGCGGGCAAACGUCCAUGACGUUUGCGAUGGAAGGAGAGACGCAACGGCAGCAAGGUGAAGAGACCAUUCAGCGAAUCGUUCGCCAGGCCAGCCGGUUACGGGUCGUUUUUGCCUCUGAUGAAGAGCUGGCUGCGCAUGAAUCGCGGCUUGAUCUGGUGCAGAAAAAGGGCGGAAGUUGCCUUUGGCGGGCGUAAUUUAUUCCUUUUUAGGCUAUAAAAAUCAUCCUUCGGGCGAUUUUUGCAGCAACUGAUUCAAAAGGUGAGAAAAAGCGUUGACGGGCGACACCGCAAACCGUAAUAUUCGCCUCGUUCCCAGCGGGAACAUAACGGAGCGGUAGUUCAGUUGGUUAGAAUACCUGCCUGUCACGCAGGGGGUCGCGGGUUCGAGUCCCGUCCGUUCCGCCACUUAUUAAGAGCCCUGAGCAUUAGUUCAGGGCUUUUUCUUUGCCUGUCAUUUAAUUAUUGCUCAAUUCGCAAAAAUCCUCUGCAUUUCUCGCUCUUUUUCUACAAAGCGCUGAAGGUCAUAAUCCCCUCAGUUAACGAACAUAGUGAUUAAAAAGAGGAAUUCUAUGACUAUCCCUGCAUUCGGUUUAGGUACUUUUCGCCUGAAAGACGACGUGGUUAUCGCUUCUGUGAAAACGGCGCUUGAACUGGGCUACCGUGCUGUCGACACUGCGCAAAUCUAUGAUAAUGAAGUUGCUGUUGGACAGGCGAUUGCUGAGAGCGGCGUACCGCGUAAUGAGCUGUACAUCACCACUAAGAUCUGGAUUGAAAACCUUAGCAAAGACAAGCUGAUCCCAAGCCUGAAAGAGAGCCUGAAAAAACUGCGUACCGAUUAUGUCGAUCUGACGCUGAUCCACUGGCCAUCUCCGGGUGAUGCCGUGUCUGUCGAAGAAUUUAUGCAGGCAUUGCUUGAAGCUAAAAAACAAGGGCUGACUCGCGAAAUUGGCAUUUCAAACUUCACCAUUCCGUUGAUGGAAAAGGCUAUUGCCGCGGUGGGCGUAGACAAUAUCGCCACCAACCAGAUUGAGCUAUCUCCGUAUCUGCAGAAUCGUAAGGUGGUUGACUGGGCGAAAGCGCACGGUAUCCACAUCACCUCUUAUAUGACGCUGGCAUACGGCAAAGCGCUGAAAGAUGAAGUGAUUGCGCGCAUUGCGGCUAAACAUAAUGCGACGCCGGCGCAGGUUAUUCUGGCAUGGGCAAUG
RNAcentral lists this ribosomal RNA (1481 nucleotides) under Salmonella enterica subsp. enterica serovar Urbana str. R8-2977. Its description in RNAcentral is "partial large subunit ribosomal RNA". The stretch from base 605 to 678 matches the Rfam family "tRNA". Lineage: Bacteria; Pseudomonadati; Pseudomonadota; Gammaproteobacteria; Enterobacterales; Enterobacteriaceae. The record is from RNAcentral.